AGAAUUUUUUUUCCUCGCGAUAUGAUAAAGUGUUUGAGUGCUAUGCACGGACUACAGAAAAAGAGCCUUCGAAGCACUAACUGCAGUAAUAAAUAGUUACCGUUUAUGGGUGUCUGAUUUCUACAGCUCUAAGUUCAGACUUAAAAAACAGGAUUAAGUACAGUGAAUAGGAUUGGAUGGGGGUGGGCUUAGCGAACUCCUCUUGUGUUGUUAUGAGAUGCAAAAUAUACAUUUAGGACAACACCAGGAAUUUUACUGAGAUGGAAAACCUUCCUAACUAUUGUCCCCUGAAAUCCUAAGUGGCAGAUUCAAUUUGAGCACCAUAUUGGAGUCAGUAAGAUUCUGCUUCCUGAGUUCAAAUCUGGCCUCAGACACUUACUAGCUGUGUGAUUGUAGACAAGCCACUUAGCCCUAUUUUCCUUAGUUUCCUCAUCUGUGAAAUAAACUGGAGAAGGUAAUGGCCAACCACUCUACUGUCUCUGCCAAGAAAACCCUAAAUUGGGUCAUAAAGAGUCUGAUGUGACCCAAAUGAUGGAACAAAGGACCUACCUUGAUGCCACCUCAUCAUGUGGAGAUAACUCAGGCUUCUUAGCAAUUCUGCUGGUGGAAUAUGUCUUGUGGUCUGAAAGGACUUCAGAUAUAGACCCAGACAGGUCAGCCUAG
RNAcentral lists this long non-coding RNA (663 nucleotides) under Monodelphis domestica (gray short-tailed opossum). RNAcentral describes it as "lncRNA (ENSMODG00000037910.1)". The record is from RNAcentral. Lineage: Eukaryota; Metazoa; Chordata; Mammalia; Didelphimorphia; Didelphidae.